GCCUUCCUUAUCACUGCCUGUGAUGAUGAUAUCAUCCACAUACACAAGUAAUACCACAAUACCAGAUGAGGUGGUUAGGGUAAAGAGAGUGUGAUCCAAUUCUGACUUCCUGAACCCUCUCCCAUUCAGUGUAGUACUCAACUUGUUGUACCACGCCCUUGGAGACUGCUUGAGACCGUAGAUAGCUUUCCUCAACCUCAACACAUUACCCUUCUUUACUAGAUGUUCAAGACCUGGUGGUGGAUGCAUGUAUACUUCAUCUUCCAACUCUCCUUGAAGGAAUGCAUUCUUCACAUCCAUUUGCCACAAAUCCCACUCAAGAUUCACAGCUAAAGAUAACACAAUCCUGAUAGUAUGAAGUUUAGCCACAGGAGCAAAGGUCUCAACAUAGUCCUCACCAUAUGUCUGAGUAAACCCUCUUGCCACCAACCUAGACUUGCGCCUCUCUAUUCUUCCAUCAGGAUGAAACUUGAUUGUGAACACCCAUUUACUAGUCACUGCCUUCUUCCCUUUAGGCAGCUCACUCUCAUACCAUGUUUCAUUCUUAAUCAUGGCUCCGGACUCAUCAGCGACUGAAUCUCUCCACUCUUUUAAAGCCAUAGCUUCUUCAUAUGUCCUUGGAAUAUAGCUCUCAUCCAAGCUUACUGUGAAGGCUAUAUGCUCGUCCGGAAACUCUGCAAAGGAACACAUAGCUUGAGAAGGAUGCUCCACAGCCUGGGCAUUGUAGUACACUCUCGUGUUUACCCAGUUGGAAGCAUCUCUCUUCACCCUUGUGCUCCUCCUUAGCUCCUGAACUUGUUCGUCUUGUGUUUCUUGCCUAUCUUCACUUGAUUGAGCACCACUCUCAUUUGACCCAUCAGGAUCUACUUCCCAAUCUCCACUAGACUGAGUACCACUCUCAUCUGAGCCAGUAGACUCUCUUUGCCCAUCUCCACUAGACUGAGCACCACUCUCUACUUCCUGUGUCAUCUCUUGAUUAUGCUGGCCUGAAUCUUCUUGAUUGUGCACUUGCUCAUGAGAUUCAGUUCCAUUCCCCCUCUCAUGAUCAAGAGGAGUUGUUCUUUCAGCUUCACUAGUAGGAUUGGAAGACUCUCUUCUUCCAGAUUCCUGAUCCUGGGAUAACCCUAUCCCUAGCUUCUCCAACAGCACCCUCAGUGUUGUUGCUCUAUCAGAUGGAGCUUGAGACAAAUCCUUCAGAUUUUCCCACUCCUUUUCUUCAUAAUACCCUUUGGAUUCAAUAAACUUCACUUCUCUAGAUACCAUCACUCUCCUUGCUUCAGGAUCAUAGCACUUGUAUCCCUUCUGAGUGAUAGAGUAUCCAAUAAACAUUGCCUUAGUACUCUUUGCCUCCAGCUUGUUUCUCUGUUCUCCUGGAGUCAUGACAUAGCAUACACACCCAAAUACUCGUAGGUGAUCAAUAAAAGGCUUGCUCUUAUUCAGCACCUCAAAUGGAGACAGAUUCUUCAGUAUCUUGGUUGGGACCCGGUUGAUGAGGUAGCAAGCAGUUUGAACAGCAUCUCCCCAAAAUCUUUUUGGGACAUUUGCAUGAAACAUCAUCGACCUAGCAACCUCCAUCAAGUGCCUAUUCUUCCUCUCAGCUACACCAUUCUGCUGUGGUGUGUAGGGACAACUGGUCUGAUGCACAAUCCCAUGCUUGGCUAGAUGACUCUUGAAGGCAUUGCUGAUGUAUUCACCUCCGUUGUCUGAUCUCAGUACCUUCACAGUAGCAUUGUAUUGAUUAGAUACAUAUGCUUGGAAGUUCAUAAACGCUUCUAGCACCUUAUCUUUAGAUGGAAGCAAUGUGAGCCAUGUAUACUUAGACUUCUCAUCAAUGAAUGUCACAAAGUAUUUAUGGCUGUCUCUAGACAUGCAUGGAGCGGUCCACACAUCCGAGUGAACUAGAUCAAAGCAAUGCUCAUAAGUAGUCUUAGAUGUUGGGAAAACAGUCCUACAAUGCUUUCCUAAUAUGCAUGCUUCACAAUCCAAGUGAUUGAAUGACAUAUUAGGGAUUAUCAACUCAAUGGCACGAGCAUGAGGAUGUCCUAAUCUAGCAUGCCAAGUAAUACUAUCAAUCUUCUCAGCAGUACUACUCAAGCAACUAGAAUCAAAGGGAUUAGAGGUCUUAGCCAAGUCGAGGUGGUAUAGUUGAUUCUUGCUGUCUCCUCUGCCAAUGACUCUCCCAGUCUUCAAAUCUUGGAACUCAACUUCAUCAGGUCUGAAUACUACUUGACAAUCAAGAUCAAUGGUAGCUUUCUUCACAGAUAAUAGAUUUGAAGUGAACUGAGGCAUAUAGAAAGCAGCCGUGUCCUUCUCAAACAGUUUGAGCUUUCCCACUCCUUCUAUUGGGAUCAUAGCGCCAUUAGCUAUCUUAACACUCCCUGUUGCAGCCUUGAUCUCACUUAUAAGCCUCCUAUCACUGAUCAUAUGAUGACUUGCUCCAGAAUCAAUCACCAUGGGUUUAGAAGCUCCGGAUUGUAUAGUAUGCUUCUUGCUUGCUGUUAAGGCUUGUACAUGUUCCAUGAACACUCUCCAUUCCUUCCUGGUGAUGCGAUCAUCAGCUCCACUCCCUUUCUCCUGCUCUCUCAACACCCCACUGUCUUCUACUGAUUCCCCCAUGUAGGCUGAGUAAGAACACUCUCCCACAACUCUCUUUCUACCCUUUCCUAUGUUGAUAGGAGCUUUGGAUAGCAUUCUGCACCUUCUCUUCUUCCGGAAGCCCUCACUCCUACUCCCGGUUAGCCUCCAUGAGCCCUCACUCCUACUCAUGGUUAGCUUCUGGAAGCUCUCACUCCUACUCCCAGUUGGCUUCCAUGAGCUCUCACUCCUACUCAUGGUUAGCCUCUCAUCAUCUCUCAUUAUCUCAUACGCCCUUCUUAUAAGCCCACAAAUCUCUUCCAUUUCCGGAAGCUGUUCCCCUCUUAGAACCAUCUCUACCAGCCACCCAUAUGAUGACUCCAUGCUCGCCAAGAGCUUCAAGACCGUCUCUUGCUCUUGUGUAGUAUACCCAUCCACAUGGGAUCUCAACCCUUGUAGUUCAACCCACAAAUGUUGUAGCUUCCUCACAUGGUUAUUGAACUCUUCUCUUCCUGGUUUACCUCCACUGAUCACCUUCUUGACUUCAUACACUCUCCUAAGACUGAUCUUGUUCUCAUAAACAUCUUCAAUCUUCUCAAGCAGUGUACUUUCUUCAAGACUAAAGCAACUUCCACUUGUUUCUCUUGCUGUCUGAUCUUUCUCAGCAGCUCUACCCUUCAAAGACUCUUCCUUCUCAUGGUUUCUCCAAACUCCACACCUCUUCAGAGUCGCUCUCAUUUGUGAGAACCACCCCCACUCAUUUCUUCUAUCUUCCUUCUCUUCACGCCUUGCUGAACCACAAGCUAGACCCAUCUUCUGACCUUGUCAAACACCUAAAGGGACUCCCUUGAAGCUGACUCUCCAAAAGAAACACCAACAGACACAAACUUGACUUUUAAAGGAUCUAGCUCUCGACAACUCUCAAGAACACUCAAGAACACUCAAGAACAUUUAGAAAAACGAAAUCACUCUCUCCUUUUGAACGAACCUGGCUCUGAUACCAUCUUAGAUUUGGUGAUUUAAGAAGUGAUUAAGUCUAAUCUGAGAAUUAAAGAGAUUGGAGAUUAAGAAUAAGAGAGAGACUUAAGAGAGAGAGACUCAAAACUCCAUUACUUUAUUAAUGAGUGAGGUUACAUAUUUAUAAGAGAGCUACAAGGGUUUCCAAAACUCGAAAUGGGCACUAUUGAAGCAUGUGAAGUCAAAGGUUGCUUUAGAGAUGGACGGAUAAGAGGACUCGCAUGCUUCCUCUCCUUACAGCCUGUCACAGCCUGGCAUGCUCUUCCCUUAUCCUCUCAACGUUCUGAUCCUUCUCCUCUUGAGUAACUCUUCCGCGUUUACCAUUUCACUUGGGCAAUGCAUGGUAAGUUUUGGUCGAGGCUUGGAUGGUACGGACUGUACGGCUUGUACGGCCUUGUACGGACGUCCGUACCAUACUCUCUCUAAACUCCACUCUGCCUCAUCUCUUCAUCUCCUCAACUCCUCUUCUCUUCUCACUUAUAUGCUUAACUCAACUCAACACUGGGAAACUGGAAUCACCUGAUUUGAAAGUGGGAUAACUUCUUCAUCCCAACUCCUAUGAGAUUUAUUCAACUUCCUGGUGUUUCCCCACCAUUUUAUGUAUCAAAAUCAAGCUUCUUACAAAGUGAUUCAUCCUGGUUUGAUUGGAUUGACGAAGAAGCUGUCCUAUUCCCAAACUGGGUCUUAGAUUUGGUGAUUUAAGAAGUGAUUAAGUCUAAUCUGAGAAUUAAAGAGAUUGGAGAUUAAGAAUAAGAGAGAGACUUAAGAGAGAGAGACUCAAAACUCCAUUACUUUAUUAAUGAGUGAGGUUACAUAUUUAUAAGAGAGCUACAAGGGUUUCCAAAACUCGAAAUGGGCACUAUUGAAGCAUGUGAAGUCAAAGGUUGCUUUAGAGAUGGACGGAUAAGAGGACUCGCAUGCUUCCUCUCCUUACAGCCUGUCACAGCCUGGCAUGCUCUUCCCUUAUCCUCUCAACGUUCUGAUCCUUCUCCUCUUGAGUAACUCUUCCGCGUUUACCAUUUCACUUGGGCAAUGCAUGGUAAGUUUUGGUCGAGGCUUGGAUGGUACGGACUGUACGGCUUGUACGGCCUUGUACGGACGUCCGUACCAUACUCUCUCUAAACUCCACUCUGCCUCAUCUCUUCAUCUCCUCAACUCCUCUUCUCUUCUCACUUAUAUGCUUAACUCAACUCAACACUGGGAAACUGGAAUCACCUGAUUUGAAAGUGGGAUAACUUCUUCAUCCCAACAACUCAACACUCCCCCUCAAGCUUAGCUUUGUAUAAGUCUAAGCUUGGACAGCCACAAGAUCUUCCUCAUUAAAAACCUCACCAAAGAAAACCCAAUGGGAUAAAACUUUGAUGAGGGAAAAAGAGUAAAGACCUUGCAGCUAAGGGGAUUAGCUCCUUCUCUUCCCAAGAUCAAUGAGGCCCAACCUGAUGUGAAUGGACUCCAUUGUCUUCUGUCUUGCAGCCUUGGUGAACACAUCCGCUAGCUGAUCUUCACUCCUUGUGUAGCAUGGCAAGAUCACCCCUAGCACAAUCAUCUGCCUCACCUUGUGACAAUCAACUUCAAUGUGCUUGGUUCUCUCGUGAAACACCGAGUUGGAUGCAAUGUGGAUGGCAGCUUGAUUGUCACAAUGCAUUGUCAUUGGAGUUGCUUGAUCAAUCUCCAAGUGCUUCAAGAUGCCUUUGAUCCAUACCAACUCGUUGGUGAGCUUCAGCAUGGCUCUAUACUCGGCUUCUGCACUUGAACAUGACACUACCUUCUGCUUCUUGCUUUUCCAAGUUACCAAGUUGCCUCCAAUGAAUGUGCAAUAGCCUGUGGUUGAUCUCCUGUCUGCUCUAUCACCAGCCCAAUCCGCAUCACAAUAUCCUACAACCUCAGUACUCUUGUUACAUCCCAUCCAUACUCCAAGACCAGUAGUUCCAUUCAGAUACAUCAAGAUCCUUUCCACCAUCCGCCAGUGGUGCUCCUUAGGAACUUGCAUGUGUUGACUGACUUGAUUCACCGCAAAGCACACAUCAGGUCUAGUAAUGGUAAGAUAGAUCAACUUCCCCACUAGCUUCCUAUACAGCUUAGGAUCAUGGAAUGGCUUGCUAUCCUCAAUCUCCCCCUCACGUGGAACCUUGUACCCAUCCUCCAUUGGCAUCUUGGCUAUCUUUCCUCCAUAGGCAUCUGCUCCCUUCAAUAGAUCAAUCACAUACUUCCUUUGAGACAUAAACAAUCCUUCCUUUGAUCUGCAUAUCUCAAUCCCAAGAAAAUACUUCAUUUCCCCCAAGUCUUUAAUCUCAAAGCUUGCCUUGAGAUACUCCUUUGUAGCCUUGAUGCCUUCCUUAUCACUGCCUGUGAUGAUGAUAUCAUCCACAUACACAAGUAAUACCACAAUACCAGAUGAGGUGGUUAGGGUAAAGAGAGUGUGAUCCAAUUCUGACUUCCUGAACCCUCUCCCAUUCAGUGUAGUACUCAACUUGUUGUACCACGCCCUUGGAGACUGCUUGAGACCGUAGAUAGCUUUCCUCAACCUCAACACAUUACCCUUCUUUACUAGAUGUU
Molecule: long non-coding RNA, 6147 nt
Filed under: Brassica napus (rape)
Lineage: Eukaryota; Viridiplantae; Streptophyta; Magnoliopsida; Brassicales; Brassicaceae
Description: long non-coding RNA (BNAP_LNC023954)
Source: RNAcentral